This 106-nucleotide small nuclear RNA is filed under the name Nannospalax galili (Upper Galilee mountains blind mole rat). The record is from RNAcentral. Lineage: Eukaryota; Metazoa; Chordata; Mammalia; Rodentia; Spalacidae.
GUGCUCCCUCCAACAGCACAUAAACAAAAAUUGGAGGAGCACAGAGAAGAUUUGGCAUGGCCUCUACACAAGGAUAAAAUUCAAGUUCACAAUGUUCCAUAUUUAU